GACGAACGCUGGCGGCGUGCCUAAUACAUGCAAGUCGAACGCUGAAGGAGGAGCUUGCUUCUCUGGAUGAGUUGCGAACGGGUGAGUAACGCGUAGGUAACCUGCCUGGUAGCGGGGGAUAACUAUUGGAAACGAUAGCUAAUACCGCAUAAGAGUAGAUGUUGCAUGACAUUUGCUUAAAAGGUGCAAUUGCAUCACUACCAGAUGGACCUGCGUUGUAUUAGCUAGUUGGUGGGGUAACGGCUUACCAAGGCGACGAUACAUAGCCGACCUGAGAGGGUGAUCGGCCACACUGGGACUGAGACACGGCCCAGACUCCUACGGGAGGCAGCAGUAGGGAAUCUUCGGCAAUGGACGGAAGGCUGACCGAGCAACGCCGCGGGAGGGAAGAAGGGUGUCGGAUCGUAAAGCUCUGUUGUAAGAGAAGAACGAGUGUGAGAGUGGAAAGUUCACACUGUGACGGUAUCUUACCAGAAAGGGACGGCUAACUACGUG
This 495-nucleotide ribosomal RNA is filed under the name uncultured bacterium. RNAcentral describes it as "partial 16S ribosomal RNA". It matches the Rfam family "Bacterial small subunit ribosomal RNA", at positions 28 to 507 of the family's 1533-position model. The record is from RNAcentral.